AAUGAACGCUGGCGGCAUGCCUAACACAUGCAAGUCGAACGAGACCUUCGGGUCUAGUGGCGCACGGGUGCGUAACGCGUGGGAAUCUGCCCUUGGGUUCGGAAUAACUCGCCGAAAGGCGUGCGAAUACCGGAUGAUGACGUAAGUCCAAAGAUUUAUCGCCCAAGGAUGAGCCCGCGUAGGAUUAGCUAGUUGGUGGGGUAAAGGCCCGACAAGGCGACGAUCCUUAGCUGGUCUGAGAGGAUGAUCAGCCACACUGGGACUGAGACACGGCCCAGUCUCCUACGGGAGGCAGCAGUGGGGAAUAUUGGACAAUGGGCGAAAGCCUGAUCCAGCAAUGCCGCGUGAGUGAUGAAGGCCUUAGGGUUGUGAAGCUCUUUUACCCGGGAUGAUAAUGACAGUACCGGGAGAAUAAGCCCCGGCUAACUCCGUGCCAGCAGCCGCGGUAA
Molecule: ribosomal RNA, 449 nt
Filed under: uncultured bacterium
Lineage: Bacteria
Description: partial 16S ribosomal RNA
Rfam family: Bacterial small subunit ribosomal RNA
Source: RNAcentral